AAUUGCCUUUGGGAUGUCACGAAGGUAGCGUGUGUGCGAUUUUCUAACGUGGUGACAUCAAAGUAACGUGUAAAAUAUCCUAAAAAUCCUUACUUUCACUUAACUUCGCAUAACUUUUGAAUCAACUCUGACAAACCAAACGUAUUUUCUACUGUACAUACAUUGACAAAGGAAAAAUCGGUACUUUUAACUAUUUGAGUCUCAAGUCCUGUUUUCCCGCUAUGUCAUAGGCAUAGUAGCCCACUGUACAGGGACAUGUACAUGAAACAGUUAAUCACAGCAUGGAUUUGUAGUUAGAGAUAGUAUGGUAAAAUAGAAUUAAAUUGGUGGCCAGCAAAGGACUAAGUCUGAGGGGAGGGUCACUUCUAUGAUGAUAUAUUCGCCGAUCCUCUGCGCAAAAUUUUGUGGCGACGUUUUUUGCAUCAUAAUAACAUGGAUUUGAUGACAUAGUUGACGGAAGCGAUCCAGAGACAAUACAUUUACAUAGGAGGUAAACGGAAGCCGAGAGCAUGUGAAUGUUGAUCUGUGCGGACCAAUUAGAUGAUGGAUAGAAGCAAUAUGGCAUCAAAAUAAAAUUGAACUUUCCUAAGGUGGAAAUGGUUUCAAUCAGUCGCGGCCGCGGCCGUGGAUGGGUUUCAAAUGAUAAGAACUCAUUACCAAAACCAGGGGGAUCGUUAUAUGCUGAUGAUACGAUUUAUACAAAUCUUCUUAAUCUUAUAAACCUUGUGAAUAGUGAAAACUUAACAGAAAUAAUUGAAGAUAUUGCGAAAUUGAUUAAUGAGAAUAAGCAAAACCUAAAGGAGAUACUCAAUAAACUUUACUCAUAUGCAUUAGACAAUACUGACUUUGUGAUGAAAUUAUUACUUAUAUGCGAUAAUUCUAAAAUUAUAAAUAUACGUGAUUCCAAAGGUACAACUUUAAAGGGAUAUUUAGUGAAUCAAUAUCAGGAAGAUUAUGAAAGGAGGAAAGAUUUGAAGAAAGAAAAUGCAGCUCAAUUUUAUAACCAUGUUAUCUUGUUUUCUAAAUUCUUAAGUUAUAUUUGAUGUUCAUUGAAGGGCUCGUAUCAUAUGUUUGGAUGUGCAUUUAUAGAUUAUUUGGAAAUGCUGCUGGAAAUAGCUUCACCAGAUGAUGUCCAAUUUUUUACAGAAAAACUUAUUGUACAUGGACAAGUCCUCAAUACCAUUUGUCACAACAAACUGAAAGAUUUAAUGAUCAUUGCAAGACAAGUCUUACUCAAAGAAAAUCUACCUCUUACAUCUCGACAAUUUUUAUUGUAUGGAGUAGAUUUAGAGAAUAGGAAUUUUGGUCAACUGCCUACAAAUUUGCAGAAAUUUUAUAUGUCGUAAUUUAGUGAAAAUUUUAUAGAAAAGGAUAAAUAUAUUGUUGAUUUCCUAAUAAAUAUGAAUUUAAAAGAUACUGAUUGCAAAUGAGAAUUUUAUUCAAGGGAAUAUUGGCCUUGAUUUCGGAGGACAAUUUUAUAGUCGUGUGAUACAAUAGUUAUUAAAAAUAUAAAUAUGAUGAUUAAUUUUAGAGCAUCAUUCUUCAACAAACAAAUUAGAAAAGCAGAAGCUUUAGUCUAUGUCUGCAAAUAAUGAAGGUUUAAGAGCGAUUUGAGGUUAGGAGCGACAGUUAAAGUUAUAAAAUAAACAGAAAUUUAACUAAGUAUAUGUAAAAAGCUGAUGUAAAAGUUAAUAAAUAUAAGUUAACAGGGA
RNA transcript from Bombus terrestris (buff-tailed bumblebee), 1712 nucleotides. RefSeq lists it as uncharacterized. Lineage: Eukaryota; Metazoa; Arthropoda; Insecta; Hymenoptera; Apidae. The transcript has 7 exons. The record is from RefSeq and is a predicted model, not a curated record.